This 1403-nucleotide long non-coding RNA is filed under the name Homo sapiens (human). RNAcentral describes it as "non-protein coding LMCD1-AS1:12". The record is from RNAcentral. Lineage: Eukaryota; Metazoa; Chordata; Mammalia; Primates; Hominidae.
GAGCGCCGGCUGCCCUGACGUCAGCAUGGCCGCGGCCCCUGACUACCCAGCUCCCUUCUAUCCCUCGAGCGGCAGGAAUCCGUCCCCACGCCCUUUUCCUUUAAAGGGCAACGGGCCGAAGGUGGGGCGGGCGGCGCGGCUCCCGCGAUCCAUUCAGGUCAAAAGGGAGAGUGAUCAAACAGGAGAGCCGAGGGGACCUAUAUUCAGAGACUUAACCGGACACCUGGACAGACCAUUACAACUUGGGACUUUUCAGGAGAAUGAGGGAAAUGUAGUUAUUGCACCUGAGCCUCACUCCAGCUCUGAGGUCCUCUUCACUUCUCUUUGGAAGAAAAUUGGAUAUCUUUUCCUAGUUGAAAGAGUAGAGAUCUGAUUUCUCCAAGGAUCAUCGCUUUUUGACACGGGAUUAUUAGAAGCAUUCAUUCAUCUAUCAAGGAGUUUUGGGAUACUUGCCAUAAGCCAAGCCCUCUGAUAGGUGCUGGAAACAUCAAGCUCUGUGCCCAGGAAGUUCAUCCUUGGACUGCACGCAUGAACGAGUUUGCUGUCUUCCCAUUGGAUUCAGCCAGUCCGCGGUCCUGGAAGAAGAAAUACUUUCCCAGACAAAUAAAAGCUGAGGAAUAUCAUCAACAUCAGACCUGUCUUACAAAAAAUGCUAAAGGGAGUUCUUCAAUCCAAAAGAAAAAGAUGUUAAUGAGCAAAAAUAAAUCAUCUGAAGGUGCAAAACUUGCUGGUAAUUGUAAGUACAAAGAAAACACAGAAUAUUAUAACACUGUAACUUACAUGCUGUGGUGUGUAAACUACUCAUAUGUUAAGUAAAAAGACUAAAAUAUAAAUCAAUUAAAAUAAUAAUUGCAACAACUUUUCAAGACAUAGACAGUACAAUAAGAUACAAAUAGGAACAACAAAAUGUUAAAAAGCAGGUUGACACAGUUAAGGUGUAAAGGUUUUAUUAGUUUUCCCUUUGCUUCUUUGUUUAUGCAAUCAGUGUUUAGUUGUCAACAGUUUAAAAUAAUGGUUAUAAGAUAUUGUUUGCAAAUCUCAUGGUGACCUCAAAUCAAAAACAUACAACAGAUACAUGAAAAAUAAAAAGGAAGAAAUUAAAACAUACCACUGGAGAAAAUCACCUUUACUAACAGAAAGACAGGAAGGAAGGAAAGAAGGAAGAGAAGACCACAAAACAACCAGAAAACUCACAAUAAAAUGGCAGGAUUAAGUCUUUAUUUAUCAACAAUAACAUUGAAUGUAAGUGGAUUAAACUCUCUGAUCAAAAGACAUAGAGUGGCUAAAUGUAUAACAAAACAAGACUCAAUAAUCUGUGGCCUACAAGAAACACACUUCACCUAUAAAAACACAUAUAGAUUAAAAAUAAAGGGAUAGAGAAAGAUAUUCCAUGGAAACAGAAA